ACUGUUAACGGUUAGUUUU
RNAcentral lists this small nuclear RNA (19 nucleotides) under Arabidopsis thaliana (thale cress). RNAcentral describes it as "snRNA_03702". Lineage: Eukaryota; Viridiplantae; Streptophyta; Magnoliopsida; Brassicales; Brassicaceae. The record is from RNAcentral.